AUUGAACGCUGGCGGCAGGCCUAACACAUGCAAGUCGAGCGGAUGAAGGGAGCUUGCUCCUGGAUUCAGCGGCGGACGGGUGAGUAAUGCCUAGGAAUCUGCCUGGUAGUGGGGGAUAACGUCCGGAAACGGGCGCUAAUACCGCAUACGUCCUGCGGGAGAAAGUGGGGGAUCUUCGGACCUCACGCUAUCAGAUGAGCCUAGGUCGGAUUAGCUAGUUGGUGGGGUAAAGGCCUACCAAGGCGACGAUCCGUAACUGGUCUGAGAGGAUGAUCAGUCACACUGGAACUGAGACACGGUCCAGACUCCUACGGGAGGCAGCAGUGGGGAAUAUUGGACAAUGGGCGAAAGCCUGAUCCAGCCAUGCCGCGUGUGUGAAGAAGGUCUUCGGAUUGUAAAGCACUUUAAGUUGGGAGGAAGGGCAGUAAGUUAAGACCUUGCUGUUUUGACGUUACCAACAGAAUAAGCACCGGCUAACUUCGUG
This 484-nucleotide ribosomal RNA is filed under the name uncultured bacterium. RNAcentral describes it as "partial 16S ribosomal RNA". It matches the Rfam family "Bacterial small subunit ribosomal RNA", at positions 30 to 507 of the family's 1533-position model. The record is from RNAcentral.